AUUUGCCCAUUGCAGACUCAAAGGACCAGACUGACAAUGCAAUUCCAUGCGAUACCAACAAUGAUAUUGCUGACUAUGCAACAGUUGAGGAAAAACCUGAAGAAACAGUAGUUGAAGAAAAACAUGAAGAACCUGCAAUUGAAAAGAAAUUUGAAGAAUCAACAGUUAUGGAGAAACCUGAAGAACCAGCAGUGGAAGAAAAACCUGAAGAACCAACAGUUAAAGAGGAACCUGAAAAAUCAGUGAUGGAAGAGAAACCUGAAGAACCAAUUGUUGAGGAGAAACUUGAAGAACCAACUGUUGAAGAGAAACCUGAAAAAUCACUGAUUGAAGAAACACCUGAAGAACCAAUAUGGGAAGAAACACCUAAAGAACUAGCAUUUGAAGAGAAACCAGAAGAACCAGCAGUUGAAGAGGAGAAACCUGAAAAGGUAACUCUUUUGGAAGAGGUGAGUAUCAAGCAUUAGCACAUAGUUUAUCCAUCAUGUUAUUUCUGUAUGUGCAUCGAUUCACAUCUGCUUAUCUAUUGAAAGUCUAAAUGAGACUUUAAAUUCUUCUUGCAGAAUAUACCAGCUGUAGAUUUCAACGACAAGACUGACCGUGAAAUUCCAUGCGAUACCAACAAUGAUAUUGCUGACUAUGCAACAGUUGAGGAAAAACCUGAAGAACCGGUAGUUGAAGAAAAACAUGAAGAACCUGCAAUUGAAAAGAAAUUUGAAGAAUCAACGGUUAUGGAGAAACCUGAAAAACCAGUGGUUAAGGUACAACCUGAAGAACCAGCAGUGGAAGAAAAAGUUGAAGAACCAACAGUUAAUGAGGAACCUGAAAAAUCAGCGAUGGAAGAGAACCCUGAAGAAUCAAUUGUUGAGGAGAAACUUGAAGAACCAACUGUUGAAGAGAAACCUGAAAAAUCACUGAUUGAAGAAACACCUGAAGAACCAAUAUGGAAAGAAACACCUAAAGAACUAGCAUUUGAAGAGCAACCAGAAGAACCAGCAGUUGAAGAGGAGAAACCUGAAAAGGUAUCUCUUUUGGAAGAGGUGAGUAUCAAGCAUUAUCACAUAGUUUAUCCAUCCUGUUAUUUCUGUAUGUGCGACGAUUCACAUCUGCUUAUCUAUUGAAAGACUAAAUGAGACUUUAAAUUCUUCUUGCAGAAUAUGCCAGCUGUAGAUUUCAACGACAAGACUGACUGUGAAAUUCCAUGCAAUACCAACAAUGAUGUUGCUGAAUAUGUAGCAAUUGAGGAAAACCUUGAAGAACCAGCAGUUGAAGAAAAACAUGAAGAACCAACAGUUGAGGAGAAACCUGAAGAACUAGCAGUUGAAGAGAAACCCGAAAAACCAACAAUUGAGGAGAAACAUGAAGAACCAAUAGUUGAGAAGAAACCUGAAGAACCAGUAGUUGAGGAGAAACCAGAAGAACCACUAAUUGAAGAGGAGAAAUCUGAAAGGGUAACUUUCCUAGAAAAGGUGAGGAUCAAGCAUUGUCAAAAGGUUUAUCCAUCUUAUUAGUUGUGUAUGUGCGACGAUUCACAUCUGCUUACUUAUUGAAAGACUAAGUGAAACUUCAAAAUUCUUGCAGAGUAUGCUAGUUGUAGACUCGAACGACAAGACUGACAGUGAAAUUCCAUGCAAUACCAACAAAGAUGCUGCCCACUUUCCCGAAGUUGAGGCAAACCCUGAAGAACCAGCAGUUGAAGGAAAACCUAAAGAACCCGUUGAUGAAGAGAAACCAGAUGUACCAGUGGUUGAGAAACCUGAAAAACAAAUGGUUGAGGAGAAACUUGAAGAACCAAUGAUUGAGGAGAAAUCUGACGAACUAGUCGAGGAGAAAUCUCAACAACCAGCGGCUGAAAAGAAACCUGAAGAACCAGCAGCUAAAGAAUCACUUAAAGAGCUAGCAGGGGAGGAAACAACUGAAGAACUAGCACUUGAAGAGAAACUUAGAGAACCAACAGUUGAAGAACUAGUUCUUGAAGAUAAACCUGAAAACCCAGAAAAUGAAGAGGAUAAACUUGAAACAGUAACUCUCCAGGAAAAGGUAAGAAACAAGCAGUGUCACAGAGUUUAUCCAUCCUAUUAGCUCUACAUAUGCAAUGAAUUCACAUCUGUUUAUCCACUGAAAGACUAAGUGAAACUUUAAAUUUUUCUUGCAGAAUUUACCAAUUGCAGACUCAAACGACAAGACUGACAAUGCAACUCCCUGCAAUAACAACAAUGAUAUUGCUGACUCUGCAGCAGUUAAGGAAAAAACUGAAGAACCAGUAGUUGAGGAAAAACAUGAAGAACCGGCAACUGAAGAGAAAUCUGAAGAAUCAGAAUUUAUGAAAAAAACUGAAGAACCAGCGGUUGAGGUAAAACCUGAAGAACCAUCAGUGGAAGAGAAGCCUGAAGAACCAGCGGUUAGGAAAAAUCCUGAAGAACCAGCAGUUAAUGAGGAACCUGCAAAAUCAGCAACGGAAGAGAAACCUGAAGAACCAAUUGCUGAGGAGAAACUUGAAGAACCAACUCUUAAAGAGAAACCUGGAAAACCAGUAAUUGAAGAAACACCUGAAGAACCAACACUGGAAGUAACACCUAAAGAACAAGCAGAGAAACCUGAAGAACCAGUUGAAGAGGAAAAAACUGACAAGGUAACUCUUUUGGAAAAGGUGAGCAUCAAACACUGUCACAAAUUUUUGCCAUCAUAUUAGUUCUGUAUGUGCAACAAUUCACAUCUAAUUAUCCAUUGAAAGACUAAGUGAAACUUUAAUUCUUCUUGCAGAAUAUACCAGUUGUAGAUUUCAAUGAUACGACUGACAGUGAAAUUCCAUGCAAUACCAACGACGAUGUUGCUGAAGACGUAGCAGUUGAGGAAAACCUUGAAGAACCAUCAGUUGAGGAGAAACCUGAAGAAUUAGCGGUUGAAGAGAAACCUGAAAAACCAGCAAUUGAGGAGAAACGUGAAGAACCAAUAAUUGAGAAGAAACCUAAAGAACCAGCAGUUGAGGAGAAACCUGAAGAACAAACCGUUGAAGAGAGACUUGAAGAACCAACAAUUGAAGAUGAGAAACUUGAAGAACCAACAAAUGAAGAUGAGAAACUUGAAAGGGUAACUCUCCUAGGAAAGGUGAGGAUCUAGCACUGUCACAAAGUUUGUCCAUCCUAAUAGUUUUAUACGUGCAAGACUUUCAGAUCUGCUUAUUGAAAAACUAAAUGAAACUUUAAAUUCUUCUUACAGAAUAUGCAAGUUGUAGACUCCAUCGACAAGACUGACUGUGAAAUUCCAUGCAACACCAACAAUGAUGUUGCUUACCAUCCAGCAGUUGAGGAAAAUCUAGAAAAAACAGCAAUUGUGGAAACAACUGAUGAACCAGUGGUUGAAGAGAAACCUGAUGUACCAGCGAUUAAGGAGAAACCUGAAGUACCAAAUAUUGAGCAGAAACUUGAAGAGUUAGCAGGAGAGGAAACACAUGAAGAACUAGCAGUUGAAGAGAAACUAGAAGAACCAAUUACUGAAGAGACACCUGCAGAACUAGUUAUAGAAGAGAAACCUGAAAACCCAGCAGUUGAAGAGGAGAAACCUGAAACAGACGCUCUCCAAACGAAGGUCAGGAUUAAACAUUGUCACAAAAUUUAUCCAUCCUAUUAGCUUUAUAUGUGCAAGGAACUCACAUAUGCUAAUCUAUUGAAAGACUAAGUCAAACUUUAAAUUUUUCUUGCAGAAUAUGCCAAUUGUAGACUCAAAGGACAAGAUUGACAUUGAAAGUCCAGGCAAUAUCAACAAUGAUGGUGCUGACUAUCCAGAAGUUGAAGAUAAACCUGAAGAACUAGCAGUUGAAGAAAAACAUGAAGAACAAGCAAUUGAAGAGAAGCCUGAAGAACCAGCAAUUAAGGAAAAAGCUGAUGAACCAGCAGUGCAAGAAAAACUUGAAGAACCAGCUGUGGAAAAGAAACCUGAAGAACCAGUGGCUACGGAGAAACCUGAAGAACCAGCAAUUAAGGAAAAAGCUGAUGAACCAGCAGCGCAGGAGAAACCUGAAGAACCAGCUGUGGGAAAGAAACCUGAAGAACCAGUGGCUACGGAGAAACCUAAAGAACCAGCAAUUAAGGAAAAAGCUGAUGAACCAGCAGUGCAAGAGAAACCUGAAGAACCAGCUGUGGAAAAGAUACCUGAAGAACCAGCAGUCGAGGAGAAAUUUGACGAACCAGCAGUUGGAGAGAAAUCAGAAGAACCAGUAGUUGAACAAACACCUGCAGGACCAGCAUGGGAAGAAACACCUAAAGAACUAGCAUUUGAAGAGAAACCUGAAGAACCAGCAGUUGAAGAAACACCUGAAGAACCAGCAGUUGAAGAAACACCUGAAGAACUAGCAGUUGAAAAGAACCCUGAAAAAACAGCAGUCGGAGAGAAACAUGAAAAAGUAACUCU
RNAcentral lists this long non-coding RNA (4410 nucleotides) under Nicotiana tabacum (common tobacco). Its description in RNAcentral is "long non-coding RNA (NTAB_LNC000707)". Lineage: Eukaryota; Viridiplantae; Streptophyta; Magnoliopsida; Solanales; Solanaceae. The record is from RNAcentral.